GAGCAAGUUCCGUGCUUCUCUACUUCCCAUAGUGGUAUUGGCAUAUGGAAUGUAAAGAAGUAUGGAGCGAGCAA
Molecule: microRNA precursor, 74 nt
Filed under: Dendroctonus ponderosae (mountain pine beetle)
Lineage: Eukaryota; Metazoa; Arthropoda; Insecta; Coleoptera; Curculionidae
Description: mir-1 microRNA precursor family
Rfam family: mir-1 microRNA precursor family
About the family: This family represents the microRNA (miRNA) mir-1 family. miRNAs are transcribed as ~70nt precursors (modelled here) and subsequently processed by the Dicer enzyme to give a ~22nt product. In this case the mature sequence comes from the 3' arm of the precursor.
Source: Rfam by way of RNAcentral